UACUGCUCAGUAACACGUGGCUAACCUGCCCUUGGGACGGGAUCACCCCCGGGAAACUGGGGCUAAUCCCCGAUAGGUGAAGAACUCUGGAAUGAGUCUUCGCCCAAAAGGCGUCGGAUCAUGCUUUCGGCGUCGCCCAAGGAUGGGGCCGCGACCGAUCAGGUUGUUGGUGAGGUAACGGCCCACCAAGCCUAUAACCGGUGCGGGCCGUGAGAGCGGGAGCCCGGAGAUGGGCACUGAGACAAGGGCCCAGGUCCUACGGGGCGCAGCAGUCGCGAAACCUUUGCAAUACACGAAAGUGUGACAGGGUCAUCCCGAGUGCCGACCGCUGAGGUUGGCUUUUACCCAGUCUAGAAAGCUGGGGGAAUAAGGAGAGGGCAAGUCUGGUGUCAGCCGCCGCGGUAAUACCAGCUCUCCGAGUGGUGUGGACGUUUAUUGGGCCUAAAGCAUCCGUAGCUGGCUGAUCAAGUCCCCUGUUAAACCCACCGAUUUAAUCGUUGGCUUGCGGGGGAUACUGUUCGGCUAGGGGACGAGAGAGGCAGACGGUAUUCCCGGGGUAGGGGUGAAAUCCUAUAAUCCCGAGAAGACCACCAGUGGCGAAGGCUGUCUGCUAGAACGCGCCCGACGGUGAGGGAUGAAAGCUGGGGGAGCGAACCGGAUUAGAUACCCGGGUAGUCCCAGCUGUAAACGAUGCAGGCUAGGUGUUUGGACGGCCACGCGCCGUUCUAGUGCCGCAGGGAAGCUGUUAAGCCUGCCGCCUGGGGAGUACGAUCGCAAGAUUGAAACUUAAAGGAAUUGGCGGGGGAGCACA
RNAcentral lists this ribosomal RNA (811 nucleotides) under uncultured archaeon. Its description in RNAcentral is "bacterial SSU rRNA". It matches the Rfam family "Archaeal small subunit ribosomal RNA", at positions 84 to 880 of the family's 1478-position model. The record is from RNAcentral.